AGUCUGAUGUGAAAGCCCCCGGCUCAACCGGGGAGGGUCAUUGGAAACUGGGGAACUUGAGUGCAGAAGAGGAGAGUGGAAUUCCACGUGUAGCGGUGAAAUGCGUAGAGAUGUGGAGGAACACCAGUGGCGAAGGCGACUCUCUGGUCUGUAACUGACGCUGAGGAGCGAAAGCGUGGGGAGCGAACAGGAUUAGAUACCCUGGUAGUCCACGCCGUAAACGAUGAGUGCUAAGUGUUAGGGGGUUUCCGCCCCUUAGUGCUGCAGCUAACGCAUUAAGCACUCCGCCUGGGGAGUACGGUCGCAAGACUGAAACUCAAAGGAAUUGACGGGGGCCCGCACAAGCGGUGGAGCAUGUGGUUUAAUUCGAAGCAACGCGAAGAACCUUACCAGGUCUUGACAUCCUCUGACAAUCCUAGAGAUAGGACGUCCCCUUCGGGGGCAGAGUGACAGGUGGUGCAUGGUUGUCGUCAGCUCGUGUCGUGAGAUGUUGGGUUAAGUCCCGCAACGAGCGCAACCCUUGAUCUUAGUUGCCAGCAUUCAGUUGGGCACUCUAAGGUGACUGCCGGUGACAAACCGGAGGAAGGUGGGGGAUGACGUCAAAUCAUCAUGCCCCUUAUGACCUGGGCUACACACGUGCUACAAUGGACAGAACAAAGGGCAGCGAAACCGCGAGGUUAAGCCAAUCCCACAAAUCUGUUCUCAGUUCGGAUCGCAGUCUGCAACUCGACUGCGUGAAGCUGGAAUCGCUAGUAAUCGCGG
RNAcentral lists this ribosomal RNA (762 nucleotides) under Bacillus amyloliquefaciens. RNAcentral's name for it is "bacterial SSU rRNA". It matches the Rfam family "Bacterial small subunit ribosomal RNA", at positions 586 to 1347 of the family's 1533-position model. The record is from RNAcentral. Lineage: Bacteria; Bacillati; Bacillota; Bacilli; Caryophanales; Bacillaceae.